GUGAGCUCCCUCGCAUCUCUUCGUCUCCAUUCUUUUCUUCCUCUCCCUUUUCCCUCUGAAUAAUCCACUUCUUUUGUAGGAGCAGAUUUGGGGCUCCAUGGGCAUGGAGCAGCACCGUCGGCAGAUUACUCUCCCGUUCGUCUCGCUGCCGCCACUCCUCCGACCCUCGCCAACCGUCUGGCUCAUCUCUUUUUCACUGGGAGCAACGAGCACAGCCGUGCGACGGACGAGUGACAUAGCCCUGCAACGAGCGCCCGGCGACUGCUCCUUCAUCCCCAUCAGCCAGGUCACCACGCUGGUACCUCCGCUCCCACCUGUGCAAGCCACCUCGUCGGCACGUCCGUCCUCACCGGUCAAUGCGAUAUUAGGUGCCCCUGGUCUCCCAUUUCCUCUCCUCCUCCCCCCCUCCUCACAUUCUUAUAUCCCCUUCCCAAUUCAUGUGUGAUGUAUUUUGUUCUUAAUUUUGGUUAAUUCAUUACAUAGUUCAUUGUUGUUUCCCGUGUGAUUGGUAUGCUAGCUACGGAUUGUUCUGUGAGCAUCAAUCAGUCUGGAUGGACAAAUCUCUCAUCAAACAUUGGCAAGGACAAAAGAGGUGGACACAUUCAUUGGGAGGCUUUUAGAUAUUCACUCAAAGAUGGUGUGCCUUUACAAUUGCCUUACACCAAGGUAUUUGUUUUCAGCUUAACCUGAAAACAUUUUUUUGCUUACAGGGUCAUUCAAAUUCUUCUUUAUACAAGGAUAGGGUUUAUUCAUAUGACUAGCUUUUGCGAUGAUCUUUUGGAUAAUCUAACCAUGAACUUAACUCUGUCAAGAAGGGCAUUACGAGCCUUCUGAAUUACUCAAAUUAUGUUUGUCUUGUUUCUGUGUGGAUUCAUUUGUAUGUUUAUGUUUAUGUGCUCAGAACCAAAUGAACUGCUCAUCUAGCAGUUGGAGCAAACCUACAAAGCUAGAGCACGAGAAAAUGAUGACGUGCAUAACCUUUUCUAUUUCUAUAGCAUUUUCUUAUCUACUGCAGAUUCUAUAAUGUAUAAUCUUAGAUUCUUAGGUAUACCUUUCAGCUGUAACAUCCCUGUUUACCAGCUGGGUAAAGCUGUACUUCCUCUGUCCCAAAAUAUAAGAUGUUUUAAUUGGCUAAAAUAGCCUACCAAAAUAUCUUAUAUAAUGGAACUGAGAUAGUAGAAUAUAUAUUUUUGUGUAAUACAUGCUUUUGCUGCCGAAUUUUCGCCAAUAGCACAUCACAGGUAUUUGCAAGGAGACACACAAUUCUACUUGGUGCUGUUAUUCGUACAUUUGUUGCCCUUCUGCAACCAUCAUUGAGAAGGCUCGGCUAUGUGAAAUUAGAAAUGCAUUUGAGCAUUUUUGGUUUCCUCUUAUCCCCAUAUAUAUUGCUAUUGAGAUCCUUCCAAAUUGGUGUUUGACUAGACAAACAGGAGGUCAAGUUUGUUAUAGCUGGGACUUUGAAUAAGGAAUAAGAAACAUAUUUUAUGGCUUAUAAGGCCUUUACCUGAAUCUUCUGUAUUUUUGUUUAUUUAAUUUAUUGGUCGAACAUCAGACCUUCAAUAUGGUAGUUUUCUCUAUUUUCAGCAGGAUUGACAUUUGAUUUGGUGUAACAAAAAUACAAGUUCAGAUUUGAUCUGGCAUGCACGACCAUCAUUAGUAUCUUAUCAAUUGCUGCAAUUUAAUUAGUCAAUAGAAUGCCUGAUGCUCUCGUACGUUCCAAUCCAAUCUUUCUGCUUCACACACAAAAACCGGUCUAUGAACCUAGCAUAGAGGAACUAUGCUCUUGAAAUGAUGAGUAUUAUAAUAAUCAUUUGAGCGCAUUUUCUAAUUCAGGAAUAUUCAUUAUCAACUUGAUAUGGUUAUAAGCCCUAUGUCCUUCGUUUAUGAACGUAUCAGUACCACUACCUCCUAGAGGAAAAUGGGCACAAGUAAAAAGUUCUCCUUUGUAGUUAGGACUGGUUCUGUGCCCCCAACAUUGGACUGUGUAGUAUAUGUUAUAUGUUAUUGCUACCGACUAAAUGGGAAAUUUGUAUGCACUUGCGGGCAUAGUGAGUUGGAGAUUUGCAGGAUAGCUCAACCGGAAGGCUACAUUUUAUCUGCUUGCAUAUUCUCGUAGGUGUACAAGUUUCCAGUCUGCUUAUCUAUUCCUCGUCUAAGAUGGCACCCAGUUCUAGAGACCAUAAGAGAUUUUUUUUCUGAAGUAUGAUACCACAUUACUUUGCAUGUUUACAAGAUGUCAUUGGCCAGUCCGGCUUCUACCAUUUUACCUUCGCGCUUUUUAAAAUUCAGAAACAUAAUGUAUUUGUAACAAAAUGAACACCUAUGUAGGAUUACAAAAUAAUCUCCCUGUGAUUCAUUCAGAAUCUACCCAAGAAGCUAUUCUGUGGAUUUUGAUUCAGAUUCAUAUGUAUACUUCCAUGAUGAUUUGGUCAAAUCCACCUUCCCGGGAUAGUCUUGGAAUGAGUUGUUCUAGCAAGUGCUUUUGUUUUGCUUAAGCGCUUAUUUGCUGCCCUAAGAACUUCUUAACUUUUGGCACGUGCUAAAUGAAUGAAAACUACUUUGUUCCAGUGCUAGAUUAGCUUACCUUCUGUCAGAUCCCACCCAAAGGACAAAGAUAGAUGACAUUCCUGAUUUACUUACUGUUGUUUUCAUUACUAUAUCAGAAGCUUAAUAAUUAUCUUGUCUUAUGCAGAAUACAGUGCAACUGUUCAAAACUUGUAAGUUUAUAGAUGAUGUUUGGUAGCGUGAUUUAAUAUGGUACCCAGUUCUAGAGACCAUAAGAGAAUCUUUUUUUCUGAAGUAUGAGACCACAUUGCUUUGCAUGUUUACAAGAUGUCAUUGUCCAGUGAGGCUUCUACCAUUUUACCUUCAUGUUUUUAAAAAUUCAGAAACAUAAUGUGUUUGUAACAAAAAUGAACACCCAUGUAGGAUUACAAAAAUAAUCUCCCCGUGUAUUUUAUUUCAUGUCAAUGUCCUGGGAUUCAUUCAGAAUCUACCCAAGAAGCUAUUAUGUGGAUUUUGAUUCUGAUUCAUAUGUAUACGAUGAUUUGGUCAAAUCCACCUUCCUGAGAUAGUCUUGGAAUGAGUUGUUCUAACAAGUGCUUUUGUUUUGCUUAAGCGCUUAUUUGCUGCCCUAAGAACUUCUUAACUUUUGGCACGUGCUAAAUGAAUGGAAACUACUUUGUUCCAGUGCUAGAUUAGCUUACCUUCUGUCAGCUCCCACCCAAAGGACAAAGAUAGAUGACAUUCCUGAUUUACUUGUUGUAGUUUUCAUUACUAUGUCAGAAGCUUAAUAAUUAUCUCGUCUUAUGCAAAAUACAGUGCAACUGUUCAGAACUUUUAAGUUUAUAGAUGAUGUUUGGUAGCGUGAUUUUCUUACAAUUUCCCCUCUUUAUGCAAGCAAUACUAAGUAUGAGAAGGUUGUCCAUCAAGAAUAUGAGUCUGCAAUGCAGGAACUGAGCGCCAUAAUUCCUGUUUGGGAGAAAUAAACUUUCAUAAAAACAGCUAUAAGCGACCUUUGUCAUACCUUAAAGUGGGAUAUUUGACUGCUUCUCCAGCAAACAAUGCCUUUGCACCACACAGAUUGGGAGGUCGCAAUUUGUUUCAAACCAUCAGGGACCCCAGCAGGUUUAUCCUUGUUGCAUUGGGCACUUAUUCCUGAUGAUAGUCGCCUGCAGUUUGGAUGAAUGUGGAAAUGCUUUCCUGAGAGUUCACUCUAUGCUCUCACCCUUUAUUUAUUUUGUACUAUUUUGUUUUGCAUGUGUAGACCACCAGGUCACUUGUGUACUAAUUAGUUUAGAUGUAAUCUGGCACUCAGCCAUUAUGUGCUUAUUGACAUGCGCCUACUGCGCUUUUUGCCAAAUUAUAUGUUCCCAGAAUUCCAUCGAAAAGCCAGGAGAUUGGGGCCCGCCUCCUUACAAUAAUUGUUGUAUAUCUAAAAAAUUGUUCUCGUGUUGUUGAAAAGGACAGGGAUGGCCAACUUGCAUAGAAACUGAAGAAUAAAUUGAACAUUUCUGUUGAAGGAAACAACAAGGAAUCUAUCUAACUUGCUGAGUUGAGGCGUAUAGACUUUCUAAUGUAGGGAGACUCUGAAGAAGCCGUGGUGGCAGAGUUGCCGUCGAAUCAAUAAAUUGGGUUUUACUUCCCUCGAAGACUGUUGCGAUCCCCUAUACUUGUGGGUCAUCACGACGUCAGGGCUAACAACACCGCCUAUGUUGUAGGCGAUGUUGUGAGAGCCAUUGCGGCGGAGGCAGAAGAUACGCUUCCACAGAGCCCAGUUAGGAUGAACUCCGAGGAAGCACUCGCAGAGGGUUAUGAAGAUAGAGACAUGAAGGAUGGAAUUGGGAGUCAGCUGAUGAAGCUGCAACCCGUACACAAAAAGAAGGCCGCGGAGGAAAUCAUGAAUGGGGGUAGAGAGGCCGCGGAUAAGAUGGUCAACAAAACUGACCCGAUAUUCGAUAGGAGGCGAAGGAUAGCUUUCUUCGCUGGGGAAGAGCAGCGCCUCUUUCUUCUUCAUCAAUCCAAGUUUUUUCAUCAGGUUGAUGUCCUGAUUGGAAAUCUUGGAUCUUUCCCACUCCGUCGUUCUGAGAUCUGGCGUCGUCAUCUUCGAUUCAGGAGUGCUAUGCCUGGUGAGUCUGGUGCGUGGUGGCAUGAACAAUGGCAGAAGCAAAAGUGAAAUUGUGGAUGAGCUCAGGAAGUGUUGGGCGCAAUGGGGGAUUUUUGGAGAGAGAACAGAGGUGCGGCGCGGCGAAGUGAAGACCAGAGGAGGAAGACGACCUGUUAUAGGAAGCAUGCGGGUUGAUGCACCGUUGGAUGGAGCGGUUAUGAUCUUGAUGGAUUACAUGUGGCUUAAGGGGUAAAGUGGUAUUUUCGCAAGGAUGGAACUGGACAGGCGUUGCAGCGCGCGUGCCAGAAAAAGUGGAGGACGUGUGCCCCCACUUGCGUAACGUGUCAACCUGCCGCGGAUUUUGGGUCCACCAGUCAGUGACAGGAUAGAGAUCGUGUUUUCCGGUAAAGAGGUCGUGGCUAACGUCAGCAUUGAUGUCAUUUUAGCAGAGGAAUUUUUCGACAGUGACGAUACGAAGACUGGUCAAAGAAUACAAGUGAUGAUAAUUUCGAGAGCUUUCGGUCAAAUACAAGUUUUUGAUCAAAUGCUCGGAGGCUACUCUGGAAAAAAAAAAUUCGAGUAUGACAAAAUAGAAAUGGCGAGAGCCUAUGAUCAAAAGCAAGCAUUUGUUCAUAGCCUCGGGGGCUACUCCCAUCCGGAGCGCUGGUCACGCACCCGAUAGAACUAAAAAGCUGAAGAAAGGAUGACAAUAUAGCGACAUAAGGCGUUAAAAUGUCGAGCCUACAACCAAGUACAAGUCCUUGGCUGUAGCCUCGGGGGCUACUCCCAUCGGAAACGCUGUUCGCGUGCCCGAUGAAAUUAUAAAAAGUAUAGUGAGCAUGUUUCGAGUUAUACAAAUAACUCUACAUAUACUCCCAUCGGGAAGGCAACAUAAGUCAUAUGUUGACUCAAUAAAAUGUGCUAUUCCAGCAGUCGAAACAGGACUCGACAAUAUAUUCUCAGAGCGCCUAAGUUGCGAAUAAUCUCUGAAUGCCGCAAAACUUUGCGAAGGUAAGACCCCAUAUCCGUUCUGAGCGGCGUGGCACCGUCUCUGACGUCGGUUCGCUACUUGUUUCCGUAUCAAAAGAUACGAAGAAAAAUCUUAACGGACGUGUUAGGUACCCGAUAAAAUAUGACUGGGACUCGACAGAUGGUAAGACCUUAAGCGGCACCUGUCGAGUUAACACCAGUAUCCCGAGAUCAUGUCCAGGGACGUGAUCUUGAAGUAGGUUUUUGCGGAUUGCCACUAGAGCAGUUAACUAGUACCUGAUCCGUCAGAUGAACUAGAAUUACCAUUAUCCCUGUACAAUAUAAUUUCAUAUCCAAAGAAAUGUGAUAAACUUGGCAGAGUUAUUGUAUGAUUAUAAAGUUGGAGAUUUUUCCUGAUUCUUCGAUUCAAGCAAAAUCUCGGGAGCUACUGACAUAGGCAUCCCCAAUGGGCCUGCCAAAUAUGGUACCCGGGGUUUACUGAAGGCCCACGAGUCGAAGAAUGUGAAGCCUGGAAG
Non-coding RNA from Lolium perenne, 6111 nucleotides. NCBI's taxonomy places the organism in Eukaryota, Viridiplantae, Streptophyta, Magnoliopsida, Poales, Poaceae. The record is from RefSeq and is a predicted model, not a curated record.